AUUGAACGCUGGCGGCAUGCUUUACACAUGCAAGUCGAACGGUAACAGGCCGCAAGGUGCUGUCGAGUGGCGGACGGGCGAGUAAUGCAUCGGAACGUGCCCAGUCGUGGGGGAUAAGUACUCGAAAGAGUAGCAAAUACCGCAUACGAUCUAUGGAUGAAAGCGGGGGACCGGAAGGCCUCGCGCGAUUGGAGCGGCCGAUGGCAGAUUAGGUAGUUGGUGGGGUAAAGGCGCACCAAGCCAACGAUCUGUAGCUGGGCUGAGAGGACGACCAGCCACACUGGGACUGAGACACGGCCCAGACUCCUACGGGAGGCAGCAGUGGGGAAUUUUGGACAAUGGGCGCAAGCCUGAUCCAGCAAUGCCGCGUGCAGGAAGAAGGCCUUCGGGUUGUAAACUGCUUUUGUAAGGAACGAAACGGCUCUGGUUAAUACCCGGGGCUAAUGACGGUACCGUAAGAAUAAGCACCGGCUAACUACGUG
Molecule: ribosomal RNA, 482 nt
Filed under: uncultured bacterium
Lineage: Bacteria
Description: partial 16S ribosomal RNA
Rfam family: Bacterial small subunit ribosomal RNA
Source: RNAcentral